Molecule: long non-coding RNA, 597 nt
Organism: Neopsephotus bourkii (Bourke's parrot)
Lineage: Eukaryota; Metazoa; Chordata; Aves; Psittaciformes; Psittacidae
Exons: 2
Source: RefSeq, a predicted model, not a curated record
GGAUGAAUUUUCUACCAGAGCAAGGCUCUGUCAUCUGCAUGUCAAGAAUUUCAUUACUGCUCCAUUAAUGCCUUGAGUGCCAGUAUAGAGAAAUCUCUCUCCACUGCUAUCUGUAGCAAAAGAUGACUUCUGUGCUAUCUAUUUGUCCACUAGCAACUUUCGUUUUCGAGAGAAAUCUGGUCGCCAAGAGCUAAAGCAGGGAGAGAGGGAUGAGGGAUGUUGCAGAUGUGGAACCUGAAGCAAGCCCGUUCUGAUGGCCACCAGGGGGAGAAAACUGCCACUGGGAUCAGGAAUACUCUUAUGACCCAAAGUACUUAGAAGAGCAAAUUUGGUUGAGGAACAGGGAAAAAUUCUCUCAGUAAGGAUAAACAGAGAAAAAUAGGCUGCUAAGAGAGGUAGGCUGCUAAAUUCACCAAGAGCUCACAAAAGAACAUAAGGAUUAUUUUUCUUAUUUUGCAAUAGCCUGCUGGUUUGCAAGUCCAUUCAUCUUUGUUCUUUUAUGUCACUACACCUUCCCCAAAAUAUAGAUAUAUGUAUGUAUUUCAUAUGUUCAGAGUUAAUAUGAGCUAAUCAAAAUCUUUCCCAUAAGGAAUCUUU